AACUGAUACUACCUGCGGGAACCUGCGGAGGGAUCAUUACCGAGUUUACAACUCCCAAACCCAAUGUGAACGUUACCAAACUGUUGCCUCGGCGGGAUCUCUGCCCCGGGUGCGUCGCAGCCCCGGACCAAGGCGCCCGCCGGAGGACCAACCAAAACUCUUUUUGUAUACCCCCUCGCGGGUUUUUUAUAAUCUGAGCCUUCUCGGCGCCUCUCGUAGGCGUUUCGAAAAUGAAUCAAA
RNAcentral lists this unclassified non-coding RNA (240 nucleotides) under soil metagenome. Its description in RNAcentral is "partial contains 5.8S ribosomal RNA, internal transcribed spacer 2, and large subunit ribosomal RNA". The record is from RNAcentral.